RNAcentral lists this small RNA (49 nucleotides) under Arabidopsis thaliana (thale cress). Its description in RNAcentral is "ATSL301220". Lineage: Eukaryota; Viridiplantae; Streptophyta; Magnoliopsida; Brassicales; Brassicaceae. The record is from RNAcentral.
AUUUUCCAAUCUGCAAUGUAAGAAGAAGAACAAGAAGGCUUUUUAUGUU